GAUGAACGCUGGCGGCGUGCCUAAUACAUGCAAGUCGAGCGAACAGACGAGGAGCUUGCUCCUCUGACGUUAGCGGCGGACGGGUGAGUAACACGUGGAUAACCUACCUAUAAGACUGGGAUAACUUCGGGAAACCGGAGCUAAUACCGGAUAAUAUAUUGAACCGCAUGGUUCAAUAGUGAAAGACGGUUUUGCUGUCACUUAUAGAUGGAUCCGCGCCGCAUUAGCUAGUUGGUAAGGUAACGGCUUACCAAGGCAACGAUGCGUAGCCGACCUGAGAGUAGGAGCGGCCACAGUGGAAAUGAGACAAGGGCGAGAGUCAGAAGGGCGGCAGAAGGGGGGAAUAUUGGAGAAGGGGGGAAAUAAGGAUCAAGCAAUACCGAGGGAGGGAAGAAGGCAUUAGGAUUGUAAAACUCUUUGAUGAGGAAAGAAAAGAAGCCGACGGAAACCCGCAUGUCAGGACGGGACCUAAAGAAAAAGCGACGGCGAAAUUCGGG
This 497-nucleotide ribosomal RNA is filed under the name uncultured bacterium. RNAcentral describes it as "partial 16S ribosomal RNA". It matches the Rfam family "Bacterial small subunit ribosomal RNA", at positions 28 to 507 of the family's 1533-position model. The record is from RNAcentral.